AUGGUUAUUUGUUUGCUACUGCUCAUUUAAUUUUACUAUUCUUAGUGAACGCUGUUCUGAUCUUCAUAGAGAAGUAGAGUAAGAUAUAAAUAAUUUUAAAUAAAACAAAAAAGCAUUCUGUUACAGGACCCUGCUUGUUGUAUACACUGAAUUUGCAAAGGCUGUGCAUAUAUAUACUCAUAAGGCUCCAGCCCAUGCUGCUUCACAUUCCCUUUCCACAGCAGCACAGCACAUUAUUAUACUAUGCGCUGGAAAAAAAUGUGCUUCAUAUAUCUCCUUUUUGUGCUUCCAGUGUAUUCUUGUGUGAAGUAAGGACAUGUGCAUCUCCAAGAAUAAGCUUCAAAAGUGCACACCCUUCAGUGCUUCCUGCCAUGCACAAAGCAUUGUAAAUUGGGUGUUGGAUAAGCAAGUCUUAUGGUUCUGGUGCUUUAUUCAUAACACUUGCAGGUUCCAAAUAAUGGUGACCUUUGUGCAACUCGGGCAGAGGUCAUUUCCACUACAACAGCUGUCUUCAUAAAACACAAUUCACCACAGAUUGUUGUAAUGGCCAGAACAACCCAUUGAAAGAAUAUGUCACCUGGGAAGGCAGAGGAUACAAGACAUCUGUAGCUGGCAAGGUACAAAGAAAAGUUUCAUUUCUGAUCUUUGGCACAGCAAUUAUUCUCUUCUUGGAAAUAGAUUUUGACACUAUGUGUGUUACCUUCCUUCCAUCUUUAUUCUAUAUAACUGGUGCUUGAUGCAGAUUUUUUUUAAAAAAAUCCACUCUGGAUCUUUGUCAUGUGAUGAUUUUAAUGUGUAUCUGAAGUCAUUAUAUUGUGGAAUGCUUGGGUUUUCCUUUCGAAACCGAAAAUAAAGUCUCCUUGUCAUGCAAAUAUAUAUAGGCUCCCCCCCCCAUAACAAUAACAAAAACCACAAUCACAGACAGAACAUGGUGUUUUGUUGACUCCUGGUCAUGAUCUCAAACAAUUACAUUAUAUUGGGCUGAACUACUUUUGCUGAACUCAGACUACAUUAGAUUCAACUUUUAUAGCUUUAAUGAUCAGAUUUCAAUAACAUACAAUUGCAUUAAACCAACAGGAUUAUAGUUACCCAAGUUAUUUUCAAUUGCUUCCUUAUGCCUAGGUGCGACGUAGAUAAUUUUCCAGUCUAGCACCGUCUCUGAGUUAAUUAUAUAUGUAUUGAUCAAGAAGUUCAUUUACUUUUCUUAGAUAAGAAACUACAUAAUCCCAAACCUUUGAGUUCAGCACAUUACGAACUUUGCUCUCAGAACUGAAUACUAUUAUGUGCAUUUGUGUGUAUUACUUUACUAUGUUUUCAGAAGAUCCUUUUUCAGGUUAAAAUGAAAAUCAAAUGUUGGUAUUUUGCCAAAGUUGUUUUCAAGCACCACCCCAUUAGCUGGGAGGCCCCCCACAUUUAUCCUAUUAGUUUGCUCUGGAUUGCUUCUUUUCCCUACAGAACUACAAAUAAACCUUUUUAGUUUUCCAUGGUGGUAGCUUUCAAAUGUGCAAGUGUCUGGCACUUCAUUCCCAUUAGUCCAACACUUUGAAAUUAAACUAUUAAAUUUCAAUAGCAAUGGUGUACAUUUACUGAACCAUUUCCCUCUUGAUCCUUGAAAAUCUUGGCUCCAAAUUACAACUCAAACCACAUUCUCAGUUCUUAACUAGUAACCAAACCAAACCAGUCAGUCUAGCUACUCUAAGUACUCUUUCAAACUCUUCAAAUACUACUUUCCUCUCCAAGCAAUUACUGCCAGCCAGUUAACAAAUCCCUUUGCUUUCAGAAGUACUUCACUAAGACAGGAAUCUACUUCAAAAUUUCAUAAAUAGAAAGGUUGAGUUAACCAUCAAGAAUAUUCAAACAACUGCAAAAUUACAGCUGCACUAUUAGAACAUUAUGGUAAAUGGUUCAUUUCUUCUGUCGGUGCCUAUAGUAACCCUGAGCUAAUUGACUGCGGGAUGCAGAUGACGAUUAACAGCAAUUAGUGUUGGGCUUUCAGCAUUUCUGGGCUGUUGCUGUUUUCAAACUGCUGUUUGUAAUAUGUUAUUUGAAUGCAUUCUUCUGUAUGUUCUUCCCUGCAUGUUGCAAUCCUCAGCUGAUGUUUUGUUCUAGAUCCCUCAACUCCAAGAAUCACAUCUGGUGGUGAACAGGGCUAGGACAUUUUAUUUUGUGGCUUCUGUGUGUGGAAUGCCUUGCCAAGUGAGGUGUUCUGAUAGCUGUUUUGGAUUUUGGCUUUCAUGAUCUGAAGGGAGAUCAUGAUAUUGUGGGCGGUGGGGCAAACCCCAUAACUCUUGAAUUUAGGAAAAGUAAGAAUUAAUCAAAGUUUUAUUAAAUUGUGCCAAAAGUUGAAAACUCCCUGGAUUUAGCUAUGCCAACAACCCAGGCCAACUUGGCACAACCACUAAGAUGAGCCAUUAGCAGAGGACAAAGGCCAUUUCGGAGGCCUAAUCUGGCCUGCCAGUCGGUUCAAUCUGGCCCCUGUGGCAGUUUAUUUCCUAAGGUAAAAUCCUUUAAAAAACCUCAAUAACUUUGGUCGGCCCCCAUGGCCCUUCACUUCAUCAAAUCUGGCCCUCUUUGAAAAAAGUUUGGACACAACUGGUUUAAGCUUUCAGCUUUGGUGAUAUAGGCCAGGGAUGUCCAACAGGUCAAUCGUGAUCUACUGGUCGAUCCCUGGGAGGGUUUGGUAGAUCGCGGUCGAUCGCUGGCUCCUCCCCCUAGCCCCUCCUCACUACAGCAGAAGACGGAGCUCUCGUUGCGAGGCUGACUGUUUCAUUAGCAACCUCUUGUGAGUGACUUUUUAAAUUUAUUCCUUUGCCCUGAUUCUCUGAAAAAGUACCUGAACCCCCUCUAAAAUCCUCCCUAAAAAAAGCUCAACAACCUUGACCUGAAACCCCCCCCCCCCAAUGGGUAGAUCACUACCAGUUUAUAAUUGUGUGCAUAGAUUGCAGUCUCUUCUAAGUUGGCAGUCCCUGAUAUAGGCUGAAGGAAUAUUGUGGCAUCUUGCAAGAGGUUUGAAAAACUGGGGAGAAGUGGACCUGGCAGAAGUUCUGGUGGGCUAGCUGGGGUAAACUGGAAAAGAGACACAGAGUUUGCUGUUUGGCAACCUUUGAAUCCAAUGCUGUGCUUCUGUAGGAGAGAAGACCCUCUUGAGAUAUGAGUCCCAACUGUAGACUCAAGGUUGCAUAUACAAUGGUACCUUGGGUUACAUAUGCUUCAAGUUACAUAUG
RNAcentral lists this long non-coding RNA (3224 nucleotides) under Podarcis lilfordi (Lilford's wall lizard). The record is from RNAcentral. Lineage: Eukaryota; Metazoa; Chordata; Lepidosauria; Squamata; Lacertidae.